AGGAGGUAGACUCAUGAGUUCAUCACUUGUGGCAGUGCAUGCAAGUGUUCCUUUACAAAAGACUAGGCUUGGUUGUUCAACAAGAAACAAAUUUUCCAAGACGUUUUCAAAAGGCUUGUCUUGUUGAGCAACCUUGUGGGAAGGAACACUCUUCUCCCACGCCUUCCUAUCCUUAAGGAUUUUCUCUUUUUCUAGCACUCUUUUUUUUUUGUUUUCCUCAUCCCUCUUAUGUUUCAUUUGUAUUUGGUCUUUUACCACUUGAGAAUGUGAUAAAGGACUAAGUACAAACUUCCUAUGCUUAUGGGUGAGGGAAAUCUCGUUAGUGAGACCAUCAUGUAAGGUUUUUUUUGUCAAAUUGCCAUGGUCUCCCUAAUAAGAUGUGGCAAGCUUCCAUGGGUACUACAUCACAUAAAACUUUGUCUUUGUAGUUCCCUAUGG
RNAcentral lists this long non-coding RNA (438 nucleotides) under Phaseolus vulgaris (common bean). Its description in RNAcentral is "long non-coding RNA (PVUL_LNC000190)". The record is from RNAcentral. Lineage: Eukaryota; Viridiplantae; Streptophyta; Magnoliopsida; Fabales; Fabaceae.